AACUCAAAAUAUCAGUAGAUUUGUUGUGGUAGUGCCUUAACAAGAUUUGAGACUUCUCCAUUCAGGAAAAGACAAGUCUGGUAGAUACAAAAAUUACAAGAUCGCAAGUUUGGAUUGAAGGUCACAAGAAAAAAAAUGGGGAGCCUAGUACUCAAGCUGUUGGAGAGAAAAUAGUGGACCUAAUUCGACCAAAUGAUGAAAUGCAGUUUCUCGAUGAUGCAAUAGGAAGCACGGUCGCAUGGUUAUCUAAAUUUAUAGUAUUGUGUGAUUGAUACAUAUUAUACUAAUUUGUUUGGAUUGUAAGUUAAAUUGUUGUUAUGUA
Zingiber officinale is the source of this 322-nucleotide long non-coding RNA. RefSeq lists it as uncharacterized. The transcript is spliced from 3 exons. The record is from RefSeq and is a predicted model, not a curated record. Lineage: Eukaryota; Viridiplantae; Streptophyta; Magnoliopsida; Zingiberales; Zingiberaceae.